This 1833-nucleotide long non-coding RNA is filed under the name Lathyrus oleraceus (garden pea). RNAcentral's name for it is "Pisum sativum (pea) long non-coding RNA (PSAT_LNC019260)". The record is from RNAcentral. Lineage: Eukaryota; Viridiplantae; Streptophyta; Magnoliopsida; Fabales; Fabaceae.
CUAGUAAUAAUGCUAAUUAAAAGAAGAGAGGAUCCCAACGUAAUCAUGAUCCACAAAAAUCAGGUGUAAUGUUAAUUAAGGGAUUAACUAAGAUUAACAUGACUUAAAGAUAAUUAAAGAUGGAUUAGGGGGUUAACAGAUUGAAAAAGGGGUAUAGAUUGUUGUAUGAGGAAGCUGGCUUGGGCCUAAAGCCCAAGCUCCCAAUAACCAAUCCAGAUCCAUCUUGGCCAUGAAUUCUUCAAAGACCAUCAACGCCACCAGAAACGUCGGAAACUUCAGUACUCGUAACACAUGAAUGGCCCUAAAAUCCGAUGCAACAAACGCGUCCAGAAUCGCGACGAAGCUUCACCUCCGCGAACAAAAUCUAACGCGAACAAACGGGUCACGAUGUGACGAACUCAAUUCGUAUCAGUGGCAAAAAUCGGAUUUCGAAAUUGGAUCACCGAUUUUAAAGCUCGCUUUCCCUCGUCUUCUUGCGUGCGCAAAAUGAAAUAGAGUGAGAUUGAUACUUUCCGAUUCGAUGAUGUUGGUGUAUUCGCCUCUGUGUUAGUCGAUUUGCGCGUGUUUCGCUGCGUUGAGGUGUUGCAAAGAAAAGUGAAAAUGGAGAUGUACAGCGAAUCCAAUAGUCUCUCCCGGUAAUGAACCGAAGCAUGAAGGUAUUUAAAUAUCUUAGAAGCCUCCUCUUGCUUGUUGGAUUCUUCUUCCUUACCGUUUUGCUUCUGUUUCCAUUCUUUUUUCACUUCUUCUCUUUGGAUCCUUCUUGCAUUGUUGUUGAGGGUGAGUGAUGGUUCUGUUAUGGUUUCUUGGCGGAGUUUGUGAAGGUUGAAGUUAUUGAUUGGAGUUGCAGCUCAGAUGCGGUUAGAGAGUUUGUUGUGCAGAGUUCGUCUGCGUUUCAAAGGAAGGAGGAAGAAGACGCCGAGAAGCUGCUUGUGCCGCGGCGGUUGUUCGGAAAGAGGAAGAAGGUGAAGUGAUAGUGAUGAAGAUUCGUGUAACUGUGACAGUUGCAGUGUCGAUUCUGAAGAAAAAUGAAAAAUCUUCCCAAGUAAAUCACAGUACUGGCUUAUAUACAUUUUCAAUCUGUUAGAUCGGUUAGCUACCGUUAAAAUCUUUGUGUAACUCGGUUAGGAGUUAUAACGCUGCUAAUUUGUUUGUUAAGGGGUUGUUUCCGUUAGAGCCAUUUUUACAGGUUAUAAAAUAAUUGAGUUUUCCACUCUCCAACUUGGCUUUGCAGUUUUUGGUGUAGCUGUUGACGUCAUGGCCUUGAGUUGUUUUGGAUGGCGCCGUUUCCGCAUUUCGGUUGCAGCUUGUUUCGCGUUUGGUUGUGGCUGUUGUUGUUUCGCGGUGUUGAAUUUAACGUUUGCGCUUCGUCUUGGUUGUGUGUUAGUCGCAUCUUUCACUUGCCUGUAUUCCACUUCAUAGCGAUUCGUUCCAUCCCAUGCUGCGUUUUUACUUGCACUUUGUCUCAUUGAAUGAGGAUACGACUAUGUCAAUUGAAUAUUGGGUAUCUAGUUGAUUAGAUUUGGUGAAUCUAUAUCAGUAUUAGAUAUUGGAUAUGGAUUUAAAUGGACAUUGGUUUGGAAAAUGGGAUGGUAAUAAGAACUGGGUAAUUGGCAUGGAUGAUGGAUAUCUGGAUUAAUGGGUUUGAUAUUGGGCUUAAGAAUCUUGCACAUUGCAAAUGUUAAUUUUUUAUGCUGAGUUUUUUAUAUGAAAAAAGGAAUGGGCUGACUCUCGAAUAGCACAUGCAUGGCCCAUUAGGAAAAAACGAUUCCACAAAUCAACUUGAAUUUACACAUUAACUUGAAUUAUCCAAAUUAACUCGAAUUUCCAAAUUAA